GCGAGGGGGGAGGCAGGGGCAGCGGUAAGAGGAGCGUGGGGAACGUUGGUCGGGAGAACUGGGCUUAAAGGGCGCGUAGGCGGGCUGUCAAGUCCGGGGUGAAAUCUGUCGGCUCAACCGGAAAAGGGCCUUGGAUACUGAUGGUCUGGAGGGAGGUAGGGGUAUGUGGAACUUCCGGUGGAGCGGUGAAAUGCGUUGAUAUCGGAAGGAACGCCGGUGGCGAAAGCGACGUACUGGACCUCUUCUGACGCUGAGGCGCGAAAGCUAGGGGAGCGAACGGGAUUAGAUACCCGGGUAGUC
RNAcentral lists this ribosomal RNA (300 nucleotides) under uncultured Pyrodictium sp. Its description in RNAcentral is "bacterial SSU rRNA". The stretch from base 58 to 300 matches the Rfam family "Bacterial small subunit ribosomal RNA", at positions 553 to 795 of the family's 1533-position model. Lineage: Archaea; Thermoproteati; Thermoproteota; Thermoprotei; Desulfurococcales; Pyrodictiaceae. The record is from RNAcentral.